AUACUUACCUGGCAGGGGGAAUACCACGAUCAAGAAGAUAGUUUCCCCAGGAUGAGGCUGUUCCAUUGCAUAUUUUGGUUGGGUUGACCCCUGUGAUUUCCCCAAAUGUGGGAAACUCAACUCAAUUGUAUAUAUAUAUAUAUAUAUAUAUAUAUAUGUGUAUAUA
Protopterus annectens (West African lungfish) is the source of this 166-nucleotide small nuclear RNA. RefSeq annotates it as U1 spliceosomal RNA. The transcript has a single exon. NCBI's taxonomy places the organism in Eukaryota, Metazoa, Chordata, Ceratodontiformes, Protopteridae. The record is from RefSeq and is a predicted model, not a curated record.